This 450-nucleotide ribosomal RNA is filed under the name uncultured bacterium. RNAcentral's name for it is "bacterial SSU rRNA". It matches the Rfam family "Bacterial small subunit ribosomal RNA", at positions 29 to 524 of the family's 1533-position model. The record is from RNAcentral.
AACGAACGCUGGCGGCAUGCCUAACACAUGCAAGUCGAACGAAGCCUUCGGGCUUAGUGGCGCACGGGUGCGUAACACGUGGGAAUCUGCCCUUCGGUUCGGAAUAACAGUUAGAAAUGACUGCUAAUACCGGAUGAUGACGUAAGUCCAAAGAUUUAUCGCCGAAGGAUGAGCCCGCGUAGGAUUAGGUAGUUGGUAGGGUAAUGGCCUACCAAGCCGACGAUCCUUAGCUGGUCUGAGAGGAUGAUCAGCCACACUGGGACUGAGACACGGCCCAGACUCCUACGGGAGGCAGCAGUGGGGAAUAUUGGACAAUGGGCGAAAGCCUGAUCCAGCAAUGCCGCGUGAGUGAUGAAGGCCUUAGGGUUGUAAAGCUCUUUUACCAGGGAUGAUAAUGACAGUGCCUGGAGAAUAAGCUCCGGCUAACUCCGUGCCAGCAGCCGCGGUAAU